AUGGCGCUUAAGCGCGCGACC
Molecule: small nuclear RNA, 21 nt
Filed under: Arabidopsis thaliana (thale cress)
Lineage: Eukaryota; Viridiplantae; Streptophyta; Magnoliopsida; Brassicales; Brassicaceae
Description: snRNA_11227
Source: RNAcentral